GCCGGAGUAGCUCAAUGGUAGAGCAAUGGUUUUGUAAACCAUUUGUUGGGGGUUCAAUUCCUCUCUCCGGCU
RNAcentral lists this transfer RNA (72 nucleotides) under Candidatus Falkowbacteria bacterium RIFOXYA2_FULL_47_19. Its description in RNAcentral is "tRNA-Thr". It matches the Rfam family "tRNA". From Rfam's summary of the family: Transfer RNA (tRNA) molecules are approximately 80 nucleotides in length. Lineage: Bacteria; Candidatus Falkowiibacteriota. RNAcentral also lists the same sequence under 3 other names. The record is from RNAcentral.